This 292-nucleotide ribosomal RNA is filed under the name uncultured bacterium. RNAcentral's name for it is "partial 16S ribosomal RNA". It matches the Rfam family "Bacterial small subunit ribosomal RNA", at positions 505 to 796 of the family's 1533-position model. The record is from RNAcentral.
GUGCCAGCAGCCGCGGUAAUACGAACCGUCCAAACGUUAUUCGGAAUUACUGGGCUUAAAGGGUACGUAGGCGGCGCUGUCAGUCGGGUGUGAAAUCCCACGGCUCAACCGUGGAAUUGCGCCCGAUACUGCAGUGCUUGAGGGAGACAGAGGUAAGCGGAACUGAUGGUGGAGCGGUGAAAUGCGUUGAUAUCAUCAGGAACACCAGUGGCGAAAGCGGCUUACUGGGUCUCUUCUGACGCUGAGGUACGAAAGCCAGGGGAGCGAAGGGGAUUAGAAACCCUGGUAGUCC